GACGAACGCUGGCGGCGUGCUUAACACAUGCAAGUCGAACGGAAAGGCCCUGCUUUUGUGGGGUGCUCGAGUGGCGAACGGGUGAGUAACACGUGAGUAACCUGCCCUUGACUUUGGGAUAACUUCAGGAAACUGGGGCUAAUACCGGAUAGGAACUCCUGCUGCAUGGUGGGGGUUGGAAAGUUUCGGCGGUUGGGGAUGGACUCGCGGCUUAUCAGCUUGUUGGUGGGGUAGUGGCUUACCAAGGCUUUGACGGGUAGCCGGCCUGAGAGGGUGACCGGCGAGUGUGGUGCGAGGCGAGCGGCAGACGCCGUGCGGGGGGCGGGGGGGGGAAACAUUGGAGAGGGGGGGGAAGCUGUAGCGAGAGCGCCGGCGGGGGGUGGGCGGGCUUGGGGGUUGUGAUCCGCUGUCGCGGGGGACGGGGGGGGUGUGAAGGUAGUGGGAAAAGAAGGCCGGACUAACUACGUGCCAGCGGCCGGGGUAAUAAGAGGAAGAGCACACUGCUGACC
RNAcentral lists this ribosomal RNA (509 nucleotides) under uncultured bacterium. Its description in RNAcentral is "partial 16S ribosomal RNA". The stretch from base 20 to 329 matches the Rfam family "Bacterial small subunit ribosomal RNA", at positions 47 to 358 of the family's 1533-position model. The record is from RNAcentral.